ACGGAGGGUGCAAGCGUUAAUCGGAAUUACUGGGCGUAAAGGGUUCGUAGGUUGUUUAUUAAGUUAUCUGUGAAAUCCCCGGGCUUAACCUGGGCAGGUCAGAUAAAACUGGUAGACUCGAGUAUGGGAGAGGGUAGUGGAAUUUCCGGUGUAGCGGUGAAAUGCGUAGAGAUCGGAAGGAACACCAGUGGCGAAGGCGGCUACCUGGCCCAAUACUGACACUGAGGAACGAAAGCGUGGGGAGCAAACAGG
This 252-nucleotide ribosomal RNA is filed under the name uncultured bacterium. RNAcentral's name for it is "partial 16S ribosomal RNA". It matches the Rfam family "Bacterial small subunit ribosomal RNA", at positions 525 to 776 of the family's 1533-position model. The record is from RNAcentral.